GAGGGUAUAGUUCAAGUGGUAGAAUGCAUGCCUAGCAUGCAUGAGGUCCUGAGUUCAAUCCCCAGUACCUCCU
Molecule: transfer RNA, 73 nt
Organism: Camelus ferus (Wild Bactrian camel)
Lineage: Eukaryota; Metazoa; Chordata; Mammalia; Artiodactyla; Camelidae
Rfam family: tRNA
About the family: Transfer RNA (tRNA) molecules are approximately 80 nucleotides in length. Their secondary structure includes four short double-helical elements and three loops (D, anti-codon, and T loops).
Source: Rfam